GCAUAUCAAUAAGCGGAGGAAAAGAAACCAACAGGGAUUGCCCCAGUAACGGCGAGUGAAGCGGCAACAGCUCAAAUUUGAAAUCUGGCCCUCGGGUCCGAGUUGUAAUUUGUAGAGGAUGCUUUUGGCGAGGUGCCUUCCGAGUUCCCUGGAACGGGACGCCAUAGAGGGUGAGAGCCCCGUCUGGUCGGACACCGAGCCUCUGUAAAGCUCCUUCAACGAGUCGAGUAGUUUGGGAAUGCUGCUCAAAAUGGGAGGUAUAUGUCUUCUAAAGCUAAAUAUUGGCCAGAGACCGAUAGCGCACAAGUAGAGUGAUCGAAAGAUGAAAAGCACUUUGAAAAGAGGGUUAAAAAGUACGUGAAAUUGUUGAAAGGGAAGCGCUUAUGACCAGACUUGCGCCCGGUGAAUCAUCCAGCGUUCUCGCUGGUGCACUUUGCCGGGCACAGGCCAGCAUCAGUUUGGCGCGGGGGAAAAAGGCUUCGGGAAUGUGGCUCCCUCGGGAGUGUUAUAGCCCGCUGCGUAAUACCCUGCGCCGGACUGAGGUACGCGCAUUGCAAGGAUGCUGGCGUAAUGGUCAUCAGCGACCCGUCUUGAAACACGGACCAAGGAGUCGUCUUCGUAUGCGAGUGUUCGGGUGUCAAACCCCUACGCGUAAUGAAAGUGAACGCAGGUGAGAGCUUCGGCGCAUCAUCGACCGAUCCUGAUGUUCUCGGAUGGAUUUGAGUAAGAGCAUACGGGGCCGGACCCGAAAGAAGGUGAACUAUGCCUGUAUAGGGUGAAGCCAGAGGAAACUCUGGUGGAGGCUCGCAGCGGUUCUGACGUGCGAAUCGAUCGUCAAAUAUGGGCAUGGGGGCGAAAGACUAAUCGAACCUUCUAGUAGCUGGUUUCCGCCGAAGU
This 897-nucleotide ribosomal RNA is filed under the name Beauveria bassiana. Its description in RNAcentral is "LSU rRNA". It matches the Rfam family "Eukaryotic large subunit ribosomal RNA", at positions 38 to 967 of the family's 3401-position model. Lineage: Eukaryota; Fungi; Ascomycota; Sordariomycetes; Hypocreales; Cordycipitaceae. The record is from RNAcentral.